Molecule: long non-coding RNA, 724 nt
Filed under: Homo sapiens (human)
Lineage: Eukaryota; Metazoa; Chordata; Mammalia; Primates; Hominidae
Description: non-protein coding lnc-UEVLD-1:5
Source: RNAcentral
AGAAGGUCCGGGGGCUGGAGUCCUGGGACCUAGCUCGGGACCGGCCUGGAGAUGGAGUUCGACUGCGAGGGCCUGAGACGGCUGCUUGGCAAGUACAAGUUCAGGGACCUAACUGUGGAAGAACUAAGGAAUGUAAAUGUAUUUUUCCCACAUUUCAAAUAUUCCAUGGACACCUAUGUUUUUAAAGAUAGUUCUCAGAAAGACCUGCUGAAUUUUACUGGCACAAUUCCUGUGAUGUAUCAGGGUAAUACAUAUAACAUACCAAUUCGUUUCUGGAUUUUGGAUUCUCACCCUUUCGCUCCCCCUAUUUGCUUCUUGAAGCCAACUGCAAAUAUGGGAAUCUUAGUCGGAAAACAUGUGGAUGCUCAAGGCAGAAUAUAUUUGCCCUAUCUCCAAAACUGGAGCCAUGUAAGAUCAAUUUGGAUUUUCUACAGAAAGCUUUUUUUUUUUUUUAAAUACCUAUCAUUGAUUCUGCUGGUACAAAUAAGUAUGAUACUGCAUUUUCUUUCAAUGAUAUUCUUCAUGUAGUCUUUGGAAGUAAUUUGAAAUUGAGCUCUCUAGGGUUACCCAAGUCCCAGAACCCUGAUGACAACUGCCUGUACAAAGCUGCUCCCUCCAGGUUUUGGAGCCAACUGUUUGCUCCCUGUCUUUUUAUAGUCGUUUCCCACUUGAGAAAGUACAGGAGGAGCUACUAGCAAGUGAUUGGGGCAUUAUUUCCAAGUCC